GAAAGACAAAAUAGAGACAUGAACAUACUGUGGUGAAUUUGGGCGUAGCCUCGACCGGGGAACUGGAACCCGGGUCCCUGUGAGCGACAGUAACACAUCUUAACUGUUACACUGAGAGAUCCAAACCCAUUGACGAGGUUGCUAGGUACACCAAGGUUGCUAGGUAUACCAAGGUUGCUAGGUAUACCAAGGUUGCUAGGUAUACCAAGGUUGCUAGGUAUACCAAGGUUGCUAGGUAUACCAAGGUUGCUAGGUAUACCAAGGUUGCUAGGUAUACCAAGGUUGCUAGGUAUACCAAGGUUGCUAGGUAUACCAAGGUUGCUAGGUAUACCAAGGUUGCUAGGUAUACCAAGGUUGCUAGGUAUACCAAGGUUGCUAGGUAUACCAAGGUUGCUAGGUAUACCGAGGUUGCUAGGUAUACCGAGGUUGCUAGGUAUACCGAGGUUGCUAGGUAUACCGAGGUUGCUAGGUAUACCAAGGUUGCUAGGUAUACCGAGGUUGCUAGGUAUACCAAGGUUGCUAGGUAUACCAAGGUUGCUAGGUAUACCAAGGUUGCUAGGUAUACCGAGGUUGCUAGGUAUACCGAGGUUGCUAGGUAUACCGAGGUUGCUAGGUAUACCAAGGUUGCUUCAAUACGGUACACUCUACAGUCAAGCAAACAUUUGCAAGGCUCAUGGUUAUAUGAUGUCAAACUCAAGAGAAGAACUCUCCACAUUUUUUCUCAGAUGCAAUAGAUUUCUGUCAAGAUGUUUCCAGAUCAAAAUCUGAUGUAUAAUAAAAAAAGAAAACAUUCACAAGCAGUCCUCAAAAGAGAUUUCUGACUGAGAUUAUAUUCAGGGCUUGCCUGAUUGUUAGUCUCUGUUCAGCAUUUACAUUCCCCUCGUUGUACUCGGUGUCAUUUGCCAAAGAUAGCUGUGGGAGUUAUCGAAUCAGGAUCAAAUCCUCUCAUCUCCUCAAGCUCAUUAAUGACAGGAUGUUCAUAUUUGAAGAAAGACCAGUCUCUUUGGCAAAUGACAAUGUGUACAAGGAGUGUAA
Long non-coding RNA from Oncorhynchus keta (chum salmon), 1035 nucleotides. RefSeq lists it as uncharacterized. The record is from RefSeq and is a predicted model, not a curated record. The transcript has 4 exons. NCBI's taxonomy places the organism in Eukaryota, Metazoa, Chordata, Actinopteri, Salmoniformes, Salmonidae.